GGGUGAGAUCAUACCAGCACUAAUGCACCGGAUCCCAUCAGAACUCCGGAGUUAAGCGUGCUUGGGCGAGAGUAGUACUAGGAUGUGUGACCCCCUGGGAAGUCCUCGUGUUGCACCCC
Erythranthe guttata (spotted monkey flower) is the source of this 119-nucleotide non-coding RNA. NCBI's taxonomy places the organism in Eukaryota, Viridiplantae, Streptophyta, Magnoliopsida, Lamiales, Phrymaceae. The record is from Rfam.